UAAGAUCCGUAGGAUUCUACCCUACAUCCCCUGAAUGCAACUCAGAUACUUUAAUUAAGCCAGGACCUUA
Molecule: transfer RNA, 70 nt
Filed under: Podargus strigoides (tawny frogmouth)
Lineage: Eukaryota; Metazoa; Chordata; Aves; Caprimulgiformes; Podargidae
Description: tRNA-Ala
Source: RNAcentral